UACAGAGGGUGCGAGCGUUGUUCGGAAUUAUUGGGCGUAAAGCGCUUGUAGGCGGCUUGUUAAGUUCCGUGUGAAAUCCCCAGGCUUAACCUGGGAAGUGCGCGGAAAACUGGCGAGCUUGAGUGCCGGAGAGGGUCGCGGAAUUCCCGGUGUAGAGGUGAAAUUCGUAGAUAUCUGGAGGAACACCGGUGGCGAAGGCGGCAUCCUGGACCGACACUGACGCUGAGGAGCGAAAGCCAGGGGAGCAACGGG
Molecule: ribosomal RNA, 252 nt
Filed under: uncultured bacterium
Lineage: Bacteria
Description: partial 16S ribosomal RNA
Rfam family: Bacterial small subunit ribosomal RNA
Source: RNAcentral